This 370-nucleotide ribosomal RNA is filed under the name Pyropia vietnamensis. Its description in RNAcentral is "bacterial LSU rRNA". It matches the Rfam family "Bacterial large subunit ribosomal RNA", at positions 2098 to 2465 of the family's 2925-position model. Lineage: Eukaryota; Rhodophyta; Bangiophyceae; Bangiales; Bangiaceae. The record is from RNAcentral.
GCUUUACUGUAGCUUGGAAUUGGGUUCGGGCUUUUUUUGCGCAGGAUAGGUGGGAGGCUAUGAAAAUAAUUUUGCGGAAUUAUUAGAGCCAACGGUGAGAUACCACUCUGAAAAAGCUAGAAUUCUAACCUUGAAAGCCGUUAUCCGGCCAAGGAACAUUUCCAGGUAGGCAGUUUGACUGGGGCGGUCGCCUCCUAAAAGGUAACGGAGGCGUGCAAAGGUUCUCUCAGGCUGGUCGGAAAUCAGUCGUAGAGUAUAAAGGCAUAAGAGAGCUUGACUGUGAGACCUACAAGUCGAGCAGAGACGAAAGUCGGCCUUAGUGAUCCGGCGGUACCAAGUGGAAGGGCUGUCGCUCAACGGAUAAAAGUUA